This 212-nucleotide long non-coding RNA is filed under the name Panax ginseng (ginseng). RNAcentral describes it as "long non-coding RNA (PGIN_LNC004923)". Lineage: Eukaryota; Viridiplantae; Streptophyta; Magnoliopsida; Apiales; Araliaceae. The record is from RNAcentral.
UCUUGAAAUCUAUGACAUGCACUCUAAAACAAGAGUUGGAAAUAAUCUGGGAUGGUGGGAGUAGUUUUUAUUCAUUAGAUGUGUGAAAAUGGUAGUGCCCUGCCAUAUAUAUAUGUACAUUUGCACAUAUAUUAAAAGUUUUAACUCACAUUUUCCCUUUUCUUGUUUGAUCAUUUAGUACGAACUGCCUAUGGAGUUCGAUUGCUGAAGUG